This 454-nucleotide ribosomal RNA is filed under the name Streptococcus mitis. Its description in RNAcentral is "bacterial SSU rRNA". It matches the Rfam family "Bacterial small subunit ribosomal RNA", at positions 28 to 468 of the family's 1533-position model. Lineage: Bacteria; Bacillati; Bacillota; Bacilli; Lactobacillales; Streptococcaceae. The record is from RNAcentral.
GACGAACGCUGGCGGCGUGCCUAAUACAUGCAAGUAGAACGCUGAAGGAGGAGCUUGCUUCUCUGGAUGAGUUGCGAACGGGUGAGUAACGCGUAGGUAACCUGCCUGGUAGCGGGGGAUAACUAUUGGAAACGAUAGCUAAUACCGCAUAAGAGUAGAUGUUGCAUGACAUUUGCUUAAAAGGUGCAAUUGCAUCACUACCAGAUGGACCUGCGUUGUAUUAGCUAGUUGGUGAGGUAACGGCUCACCAAGGCGACGAUACAUAGCCGACCUGAGAGGGUGAUCGGCCACACUGGGACUGAGACACGGCCCAGACUCCUACGGGAGGCAGCAGUAGGGAAUCUUCGGCAAUGGACGGAAGUCUGACCGAGCAACGCCGCGUGAGUGAAGAAGGUUUUCGGAUCGUAAAGCUCUGCUGUAAGAGAAGAACGAGUGUGAGAGUGGAAAGUUCACA